Molecule: ribosomal RNA, 983 nt
Filed under: uncultured organism
Description: bacterial SSU rRNA
Rfam family: Bacterial small subunit ribosomal RNA
Source: RNAcentral
GUGAGUAACGCGUAUGCAACCUACCUUUGGCACGGGGACAGCCCGGGGAAACCCGGAUUAAUACCCGGUAUAGUCUGUUAUACACCUGUAUAAAAGACGAGAGCUACGGCGGCCAAAGAUGGGCAUGCGUGCCAUUAGUUAGUUGGUAGGGUAACGGCCUACCAAGGCAUCGAUGGCUACGGGGUCUAAAAGGAUGAGCCCGCACACUGGUACUGAGACACGGACCGGACUCCUACGGGAGGCAGCAGUGAGGAAUAUUGGUCAAUGGGUGGAAGCCUGAACCAGCCAUGCCGCGUGCAGGAAGACGGCCUUACGGGUUGUAAACUGCUUUUCUACGGGACGAACGGCUCUGACGCGUCAGGGAUUGACGGUACCGUAGGAAUAAGCAUCGGCUAACUCCGUGCCAGCAGCCGCGGUAAUACGGAGGAUGCGAGCGUUAUCCGGAUUUAUUAGGUUUAAAGGGUGCGUAGGCUGGGCAAUAAGUCAGUGGUGAAAGUCCGCGGCUCAACCGUGGGAUUGCCAUUGAAACUGUUGUUCUUGAGUACAGUCGAGGUAGGCGGAAUGUGUAAUGUAGCGGUGAAAUGCAUAGAUAUUACCCAGAACACCGAUUGCGUAGGCAGCUUACCAGCCUGGAACUGACGCUGAUGCACGAAAGCGUGGGGAGCGAACAGGAUUAGAUACCCUGGUAGUCCACGCCGUAAACGAUGAUCACUCGCUGUUGGCAAUAUAGAGUCAGCGGCUGAGCGAAAGCAUUAAGUGAUCCACCUGGGGAGUACGUCGGCAACGAUGAAACUCAAAGGAAUUGACGGGGGCCCGCACAAGCGGUGGAACAUGUGGUUUAAUUCGAUGAUACGCGAGGAACCUUACCUGGGCUUAAAUGUAGCCGGACGAUUCCGGAAACGGGAUUUCCUUAACGGCUGGUUACAAGGUGCUGCAUGGCUGUCGUCAGCUCGUGCCGUGAGGUGUCGGGUUAAGUCCCAUAA